GAUGAACGCUGGCGGCGUGCUUAAGACAUGCAAGUCGAACGGAGUGUGUAGCAAUACUCACUAAGUGGCGAAUGGGUGAGUAACACGUAGGUGACCUGCCCUGAAGUGCGGAAUAACAGUCCGAAAGGAUUGCUAAUACCGCAUGUGGUCCCGGGCGUUAGAGAACCGGGUCUAAAGCAGUAAUGCGCUUCAGGAGGGCCUGCGGUCCAUCAGCUAGUUGGUAGGGAGUGGCCUACCAAGGCAACGACGGAUAGGGGACCUGAGAGGGUGGCCCCCACAUUGGC
This 284-nucleotide ribosomal RNA is filed under the name uncultured bacterium. RNAcentral's name for it is "partial 16S ribosomal RNA". It matches the Rfam family "Bacterial small subunit ribosomal RNA", at positions 28 to 317 of the family's 1533-position model. The record is from RNAcentral.